This 882-nucleotide ribosomal RNA is filed under the name uncultured Staphylococcus sp. Its description in RNAcentral is "bacterial SSU rRNA". It matches the Rfam family "Bacterial small subunit ribosomal RNA", at positions 1 to 878 of the family's 1533-position model. Lineage: Bacteria; Bacillati; Bacillota; Bacilli; Caryophanales; Staphylococcaceae. The record is from RNAcentral.
CGGGUCCGGAUGACCUUGCGCCUCCCGGUACACAGCCCAUCCGUCCGUACGGCCGGGAGAAGCUUGCGUUCUCUGAUGUGUAACCGCCGACCGGUGGAGUACACGGGGUUACCCUCCCUAUUAGCUGGGAUAACCUUCGGGGAAACCCGGACUAAUACCGGAUGGAUAUUUUGGAACCCGCAUGGUUCAAAAGUGAAAGCCGGUCCUGCCUGGUCACUUAUAGAUGGAUCCGCCUGCAUUAGCUAGCUUGGUAAGGUUACGGCUUACCAAGGCAACGAUGCAUACCGACCUGAGAGGGUGAUCGGCCACACUGGAACUGAGACNCGGUCCAGACUCCUACGGGAGCAGCAGUAGGGAAUCGUUCCGCAAUGGGCGAAAGCCUGACGGAGCAACCCGCGUGAGUGAUGAAGGUCUUCGGAUCGUAAACUCUGUUAUUAGGGAAGAACAUAUGUGUAAGUAACUGUGCACAUCUUGACGGUACCUAAUCAGAAAGCCACGGCUAACUACGUGCCAGCAGCCGCGGUAAUACGUAGGUGGCAAGCGUUAUCCGGAAUUAUUGGGCGUAAAGCGCGCGUAGGCGGUUUUUUAAGUCUGAUGUGAAAGCCCACGGCUCAACCGUGGAGGGUCAUUGGAAACUGGAAAACUUGAGUGCAGAAGAGGAAAGUGGAAUUCCAUGUGUAGCGGUGAAAUGCGCAGAGAUAUGGAGGAACACCAGUGGCGAAGGCGACUUUCUGGUCUGUAACUGACGCUGAUGUGCGAAAGCGUGGGGAUCAAACAGGAUUAGAUACCCUGGUAGUCCACGCCGUAAACGAUGAGUGCUAAGUGUUAGGGGGUUUCCGCCCCUUAGUGCUCAGCUAUACGCAUUAAGCACUCCGCCUGGGG